UACAGAGGUCCCGAGCGUUGUUCGGAUUCAUUGGGCGUAAAGGGUGCGUAGGCGGCGGGGCAAGUCUGAUGUGAAAUCCCGGGGCUCAACCCCGGAACUGCAUUGGAUACUGCCUUGCUUGAGUACGGGAGAGGAGACUGGAAUUUACGGUGUAGCAGUGAAAUGCGUAGAGAUCGUAAGGAAGGCCAGUGGCGAAGGCGAGUCUCUGGACAGUAACUGACGCUGAGGCACGAAGGCCAGGGGAGCAAACGGG
This 253-nucleotide ribosomal RNA is filed under the name uncultured bacterium. RNAcentral's name for it is "partial 16S ribosomal RNA". It matches the Rfam family "Bacterial small subunit ribosomal RNA", at positions 524 to 776 of the family's 1533-position model. The record is from RNAcentral.